RNAcentral lists this ribosomal RNA (118 nucleotides) under Catharus ustulatus (Swainson's thrush). Lineage: Eukaryota; Metazoa; Chordata; Aves; Passeriformes; Turdidae. The record is from RNAcentral.
GCCUACGGCCAUACCACCCUGAGAACGCCCGAUCUCGUCUGAUCUCGGAAGCUAAGCAGGGUCGGGCCCGGUUAGUACUUGGAUGGAGACCGCCUGGGAAUACCGGGUGCUGUAGGCU